This 587-nucleotide ribosomal RNA is filed under the name uncultured bacterium. RNAcentral's name for it is "partial 16S ribosomal RNA". It matches the Rfam family "Bacterial small subunit ribosomal RNA", at positions 355 to 1375 of the family's 1533-position model. The record is from RNAcentral.
UGGGGAAUUUUGGACAAUGGGCGAAAGCCUGAUCCAGCAAUGCCGCGUGUGUGAAGAAGGCCUUCGGGUUGUAAAGCACUUUUGUCCGGAAAGAAAUCCUUGGCUCUAAUACAGUCGGGGGAUGACGGUACCGGAAGAAUAAGCACCGGCUAACUACGUGCCAGCAGCCGCGGUAAUACGUAGGGUGCAAGCGUUAAUCGGAAUUACUGGGCGUAAAGCGUGCGCAGGCGGUUUGCUAAGACCGAUGUGAAAUCCCCGGGCUCAACCUGGGAACUGCAUUGGUGACUGGCAGGCUAGAGUAUGGCAGAGGGGGGUAGAAUUCCACGUGUAGCAGUGAAAUGCGUAGAGAUGUGGAGGAAUACCGAUGGCGAAGGCAGCCCCCUGGGCCAAUACUGACGCUCAUGCACGAAAGCGUGGGGAGCAAACAGGAUUAGAUACCCUGGUAGUCCACGCCCCUAAAACGAUGUCAACUAGUUGUUGGGGAUUCAUUUCCUUAGUAACGUAGCUAACGCGUGAAGUUGACCGCCUGGGGAGUACGGUCGCAAGAUUAAAACUUAAAUGAAUUGACGGGGUCAUAGCUGUUUCCU